Long non-coding RNA from Syngnathus typhle (broad-nosed pipefish), 2518 nucleotides. RefSeq lists it as uncharacterized. The transcript is spliced from 2 exons. Lineage: Eukaryota; Metazoa; Chordata; Actinopteri; Syngnathiformes; Syngnathidae. The record is from RefSeq and is a predicted model, not a curated record.
AGGCAUGACUUUACUUUCCGGAAGGUAGAGUGCCAUCUCCAGGGCCACCAGGAUGGUGAACUCAAAGCUUAUCAGCUCCCGCCUGCCGAUCCUGAAGCGCUCCUCAAGCUUCUGCUCAAAACAUAACAUAUAGAAGGUCGGAAGGCUUCACGUACUCGAUGACGGUGGUCUGGGACGAGAGAAGGAAUGGAAAGAAAAUGAUCACGCGACACUUCACGGCCAAUGGAACGCUCCGAGGAUGUCAAAAGCCAGCUGCUAAACGUGAAACCUAAUGACGGCGUGUUCGCGCACACGUUCGUGAGUGGAAUUAUAGUUUAGCCUCUGGAGUGAAAAUCCCCCGGGAUGGAUUAAACAGCAUUGCAUGUGUGCGUGUGUGUGUGUGUCUGCAUCUCUUUGGAAUAGAUUCCACUAAGCUGCUGCCUAUCAGGCCACCAAUUAAGCUGACAUCAAGGCAUGUGGCUAUUUGGUGCUUCUUGAAUUUUUUUUGGUCACCAUAUUCUGUUGGGGUACUCGGGAUCACUGCAGAGCAGAAAUGGAUGGUAGAUUGACUGUUGCUCGUGGUGGCCAAAUGCAAAAAGCUACUUUGAUGAAUGCUGCAAAAAUAGGCAAAGGUCUCGUGGGGUCGGUGUUGGCAAAGACAGAAAAGAUGCAAGAUCUCUCCCGGUGGUUCAACAUGCUUCUUCCGCAUUGAAGAAUGUUCUCACCAUGUAAGAGGCGAAGAUCAGCACCCGCUUGUGUUUCCCGCAAGGCCACUGGGGGUCAUUGAGGAUGUUUGGGUCGUAGUCUGUCAUGUCCUCCAGUCCUGCAGAAUAGGAGAGAUGACAUUUUAAAAUCUAGCCCACUCCUCGUUUAUCUUGUCUUGGCCUAAGAGCAGAUAUCAUAUCAGUUUGGAUCGAGUGCUCAACGUGGCGGACAGAACAAUACGUAAAGCUUUUUUUUUCCCUCUCAAAUAAAGCAACAUUUUGAUGGGCUUACUUCUUGACUAUUGAUGGGUGACCCUAACAAAUCAAAUUGCAUGAUGGCAGAAUUAUAAAAGAUGCUUCCCUCUAAUUAUGGACGUUUGCUCUGUACACAGAAAAUGAAGAUGAGUACUGUUUGUGUGUUCUACCAAGGUCUAGUCCCACGACGCUGUUGAGCCUACUCGGGGGUAAACGCCUGCCGGGCAUGCUGUGAGAGCUCCUGGAAACGGGGAUUUGCAGCGUGAGGUCGCUGGUGGACGACGGCUUCUGACUCGCCAGGGCGUUGGUGGGGUACAGGAACUGGGCGUACGACACCGACUGGACCAGAGGCAAAGGAAAGGUCGGGUCACGUGGGAAUGGAUUCUCGUGACACGGGUGUGUGUUGACGUACCCUGCCGUACGUCUCCAAGUGGAAACCCUCCAGUCCCAUCAUCUCCAAGGAAGUGGAAAUAUUCCCGGACGAGUGUCUCCUCCGGGGAUGGUUCAGCAUGGGCUCACUAGAGACAGAAAUUUGACGAGAGAGCAGCGUUCUUCUUUCCGGUCCUUCCUUUCAAAUGUGCCAUCAACACGCGCGUGUACCUGAGGUAAAAGCUUUCUCCGUACGGCAGGAUCGAGAAGGCCGCGCACAGGGAUCUUUUAGCGCAGAUCAAGACGAUCCUGAAGGCGACAAAACACACGUCGGCAAUUCGUCUUUCCCCCUUCACAGUUGUGAACAUUCACAGGACUCGCUUUUGUGCGACUGUCGUGAACAAGCGUUUGGCUGGCAAGCAAGCAAAAGAGCAUUUGGUUCUCAUGAUGCAUGGGAAAGUCAAGUCUGUGGGGAUUUGACGACGGGAAAUGACCCGAACUGUGACAGGAGCAGUACAUUUUAGCGCCUAACUCCACUAGAUGUCUUAUUUCACUUGCGGCUCCAGCAAGACACAAGUUCUCUGCAUUCUUGUACAUUUGCUCGACUAAGCGGGUAUUGGGCAUGAUCUCUUCUGCACGAUGAUAUUGUGACUGGUAAUCUACAAACAGCUGCGCCGCUGGUGGCAAGAUCUAUUUUGGAACAAUCAGCCGUGAGUCUAUUAUUACAGAACGACUCAUUCUUGUUCCCCGGACUCAGAGGUCAGAUUUGUUCCGUCUGCAAGGAAGAAUAGAGGAACGAUUACACUGAAGGAGGAGACAAAGCAAUGGCGCGGAAAGUGACAAGCUGAUUCAAACAAUAAUGCAGUAUUAAUAUGGCAAUUACAAUACAUUUUAUGUCUAUUUCUUGUCUAGACGGGAAUGAGUCAUCUCCAAAAAUUUCUAUACAAGAGAAUAAACCUGUCUUGCUCUGCAGAUUUUGUGAUUGCCACUGCCUGAUGAAAAUUGCAUCUUUUUUUGAACACGCAUGACUGAUUAAGGGAGAAAACUAUUUUUUUUACACUGUUUUUUUACACUCAAAUAAGCAUGUAUAUGACUAGUAUUAGCAGAGUAUGCCAUGUGUGUGUGUGUGUGUGUGAUGUGAUUCGGAAAACGUACGGCAAUCUUGGAUGAAUGACCGAGAUGGUGGUCGUAUAAUAAAGAAAAAAAACAAG